AACAACUCUGAGCAGUGGAUCACUCGGCUCACGGGUCGAUGAAGAACGCAGCCAGCUGCGUGAUUUGGUGUGAAUUGCAGGACACAUUGAGCACUGAUUUUUCGAACGCACAUUGCGGCCUCGGGUCUCUCCCGGGACCUCGCCUGUCUGAGGGUCGGAUAAGACUUGCAUAGGAAAUGGGUUUUUUCCCACUUUCCAAUUGACCGCAUCGGAGACUCGUAGUUUCCGCCGGUUCAAGGACAAUCAGGAUCCUCCCCGGUCGAAGGAGCGUCGCCUUGAUGCAUGCUCGUCGGUUGGAGAAGCCGGACAUAAAAGAGUUUCUCCUCGAGGACGAGAUAUAGGCUUGAUGCUUAAGAAACCAAACUUAUGGGAGAGUAUGCUUUUCUUUGUCAGGAAUGACGAAAAAAGAUAUACUUUAAAUAAACUUGUCGACCUCAGAUCAGACGAGAUGACCCGCUGAAUUUAAGCAUAUAAAUAAGCGGAGGAAAAGAAACCAACAGGGAUUCCCUGAGUAUCGGCGAGCGAAAAGGGAAGAGCCCAGCGCCAAAUCCCGCCUUCGAGAGGGGGCUGGGAAAUGUGGCGUUUAGGAGUGAGCGUGCUGGAAGUAGAUAUAGCAGCAAGUCCCCCUGACCGGGGCUGUUACCCAGAGUGGGUGCGAGGCCCAUAGUUGCUUUGUCUCUUCCGGAUGCGAUCUCCUUGGAGUCGGGUUGCUUGGGAGUGCAGCCCUAAUCGGGUGGUAAACUCCACCUAAGGCUAAAUACCACCGUGAGACCGAUAGCAAACAAGUACCGUGAGGGAAAGUUGCAAAGAACUUUGAAGAGAGAGUUCAAGAGUACGUGAAACUGCUCAGAGGCAAACGGGUGGGCCCUC
Molecule: non-coding RNA, 870 nt
Organism: Caerostris darwini
Lineage: Eukaryota; Metazoa; Arthropoda; Arachnida; Araneae; Araneidae
Source: the annotation of a GenBank genome assembly